Molecule: ribosomal RNA, 440 nt
Filed under: uncultured bacterium
Lineage: Bacteria
Description: partial 16S ribosomal RNA
Rfam family: Bacterial small subunit ribosomal RNA
Source: RNAcentral
CCUACGGGAGGCUGCAGUGGGGAAUAUUGCACAAUGGGCGAAACCCUGAUGCAGCGACGCCGCGUGAGUGAAGAAGGAAUUCGUUAUGUAAAGCUCUAUCAGCCGGGAAGAAAAGGACGGUACGGGAGGAAGAAGCCCGAGCUAACGACGUGCCAGCAGCCGCGGAAAUACGUAGGGCGCAAGCGUUAUUCGGGUUUACUGGGGGUAAAGGGAGCGUAGACGGGAGUGCAGGUCUGGAGGUAAAGGCGGGGGCCCAACCCCCGGACUGCUCUGGAAACUGUCCGGCUGGAGUGCAGGAGAGGUAAGUGGAAUUCCUAGUGUAGCGGUGAAAUGCGUAGAUAUUAGGAGGAACACCAGUGGCGAAGGCGGCUUACUGGACUGUAACUGACGUUGAGGUUCGAAAGCGUGGGGAGCAAACAGGAUUAGAUACCCUUGUAGUC